Molecule: ribosomal RNA, 275 nt
Filed under: uncultured prokaryote
Description: partial 16S ribosomal RNA
Rfam family: Bacterial small subunit ribosomal RNA
Source: RNAcentral
CACGUAGGAGGCAAACGUUAUCCGGAUUUACUGGGCGUAAAGCGCGUGUAGGUGGUUCUGUAAGUAGGGCGUGAAAGCUCCCGGCUCAACUGGGAGAGGCCGUUCUAAACUGCAGAGCUAGAGGAUGGUAGAGGGAGGUGGAAUUCCAGGUGUAGCGGUGGAAUGCGCAGAUAUCUGGAGGAACACCAGUGGCGAAGGCGGCCUCCUGGACCAUUCCUGACACUCAGACGCGAAAGCUAGGGUAGCAAACGGGAUUAGAUACCCGGGUAGUCCCU